UAAGCCAGUGCACCUGGCCUAAUUAUCUUGUUUUUCUUAAUUUUUCUUAAAUGUAUGUAUAGCUUACAUUCAUUUCAGUGUUUAAUAUUAGAAGUGUUUUGAUCUUUAGAAGUUUGGUGAUGUUUUUGUCACCAGAAAUAUAUCACAGGAAUUCUAUUCAUUUAUAUCAAUUAGCCUAUGGUAAAAUUGGUUUUGUUUCCCUUAAAGUUGCAGUUUCCAAGAAUCUAUCAGCAACUUAAGUGAGAACUUACUGUAUUCGUUAUUAUAUAUCUUCCACCUGUUAUAUAUAACAGGUGGAAAAGUUUGCAUAGCCUGAGGCUAUAGCAAAGAAAAAAAAUACAGCAACCUGACUUGGCUUUUACCCUGGGGAGGAGCUGCCUUGGCCUGGGAGAGCUCCUAGGUAGAAAGGGAGGACACACCCCUCUCUGAGGGACAGGGGCACUGGUGUGAGUGUUGCCAGGAUGUGGGCUGGGGAGGCCUCCUGGGAAGGGCAUUUGGUUGGAAGCAGAGACACCUGGCUUGCCUGAGAGGGUUGGGUGAGAUGGGAAUGAAGACUGGGAGGCUGACCAGAGCCAGCCAGCGCAUGUGGGGACCCAGGUGUGCAGACAGAGUCCACUCUGCGUGUGCACACUUAUACAUGGCUCACAGAGCUUCUCCCACUUGAGUGACCUCACCCACUCCUCACAGGAUAGCUCUCCAAGGUGGGUCUCACUGUCACCCCGCAUAAGGAGACUGAUGCUCAGAAAGGUAAGUGAUUUCCCCAGUGUAGGUCAGGGAGGGUCUGGAAUAGUGACAAAGUGGUGGGACCAGAGCCAGGGACCUGCCACUAGGAAAAGAGGGCAGUUAAGGCAAGCACGUGGAGGAGAGAGAGGAAUGGAAGAGGUGAAGUUAGGGGAGGGUGAAAGGGAGAAAGAGAAGGCAGCAUCAGAGUAGAUGGUGUGUUUUAUCCAUAAACCCAGACUUGGGGAAAAUAGAUUUUCUUCUGUAUUAUUAUUUCUGUAUAUUUUAAAUCAAGUUUUAUUUUGAACAGCAGUAUAACUCCAUAACAAAAAAAUAAGCCAAAAAGGAAAAAAAAAAAAAUUCCAUCUCUGGCAUUUGCUUCUCGUCUUUGAGCAGGUGGUCCACAGCCACUCAAAGUGUGGUCCACGGCCCGGUGCUGGUCUGCCAGAGAUUCGCCACUGUUUUUCAGCACAACAGGCCCAGAAAAUGAGAGUGAAUGUUUAGAAACUCUUACAGCAAUUGGACAUGGUUGUUUUCUGCCUGUUGAAUCUAUGAUUUAAAAGUUGGGCUUGUAUUUCAUGUAUCUGCUUUUCAUUUCAUUUUUAUUUUUUAUUUAUUUUAUUAUUUUUUUUUUGAGACCAAGUCUCGCUCUGUCACCCAGGCUAGAGUGCAGUGUCACAAUCUCUGCUCACUGCAACCUCUGCCUCCCGGGUUCAAGCGAUUCUCCUGCCUCAGCCUCCCGAGUAGCUAGGAUUACAGGGGUGUAUCACCACGCCCAGCUAAUUUUUGUAUUUUUAGUAGAGACGGGGUUUCACCAUGUUGGCCAGUCUGUUCUCGAACUCCUGACCUCAGGUGAUCUGCACCUGCACCGUCUUAGCCUCCCAAAGAGCUGGGAUUACAGGCAUGAGCCACCAAGCCUGGCCUGAUAACUUUUUAUUUUGAAAUAAUAAUAGACUCACAGGAAAUCACGAAAAAAGUACCUAAAAUCCCAUGAGCCGUUUACCCAGAUUCUUCCAAUGGUGACAUCUUAUAUAACAAUAAUACAACACCCAAACCAGGAAAUGGACAUUCAUUUUCCUAAUAGGUAAUGAUUUUGAACAUCUUUUCCUGUGUUUUCUGCAACCCACAUAUCCUCUUUGGUGGACUGUCUGUUCGUGUCUUCUAGUUCUAUUUGGAUUUUUUUUCUGUUGAGUUUUGAGAGUUCUUUAUGUAUUUUAGAUACAAGUCCUUUGAUGGAUAUGCAUUUAAUCAUUUAUUUUUACGAUAUUUUACAAAACUUUACAUUUGGGAUGGAUUGGAAAUUUUAUAAAAUCAAACUGGUCAAUCACCACUGACAGUUUGAGAAGCAAUCUUAGCAUCUUCUUGCCUUAAUGAAACAACCGCACCUGCACCAUAUUGAGUCCUGACUUUUUUCCCCAGAUAAUUUAUUAUAAAUAAUUUCUCCAACUUGCUCCAUAUCUUUAUAACCACCACUUACAAGGUUUGUAAACCUUCCAUAGAGCAGCUGUACUGAGAUUUACUCAGCCAAUUCCCAAGGUUAGACAUGACGUUAUCACCCAUUUCAGGGUCUUAGAGAAACUCUGAGUCACUCACCUUUGGUCACAAGGCUUUCUCAAACAUUUUGGAUAGAAUGUUCUUAGUUUCCAUUCUCACCAUUAUAGUUCAACUUGCUCUUUCAUUAGAAUUUAGGCAUCAAGGUCAGACCAGAUUGCUGGUUGGCCACAUUCUGUGUUCUCAUGGAAACAAAAGAUCAGCGGCACUGAAUCCAAACCACCAGAGCAACCCGGCUUUUCCAGUCCCAGAUGCUUGACGGCACGGCAACAGUGGAGUCACUAAGAAAUUUUACUUUAGUUCUAUCACAGCAAACUCCAAACCAGGGGUAGCAGUCAUCUGAAAAAUGCAGAGACUAUUUUAAAGGACAGACAAGUGCCUCAGAUAGCAUCAGAGAACAAUGCCUAAGGGCUUAUGUCUGGGAUCCUCACAGAGACUAGAAGUGUCUCCCAUCCCCAUCGCAGUCCCUGGCACUUCCUGGAUUGUCGAGCGGCUCCCUGCCUCUGCCCUUUUGUAUUCGGAGCUACAGCCUUGCCUCCCCUGUUCCCACCACCCUGACCACCCCUCAACACCAUCCCGCUGUCAGCUCCGCCGCCAACUGAGGCGACACCUGUUCAUGGAAACCCUGUGAGCCUCUUCUGUAUCCAUACACAAUAGGUAAUGUUGUUUUGCAUGUUUCAAAACAUCAGUGUUGUCCAACAGAACUCUCUGUGAUGCUGGAAAUGUUCUCUGUCUGCCGUCCAAUACAGCAGCCACAGACGGCACAUGGCUUUUGAGCACUUGAAAUGCAGCUAGUGUGACUGAAGAAUUGCAUUUUGAAUUUUAGUUGAAGUUUAAAUAGCCACGUGUAGCUAGUGGCUACCACAUUGAACAGCACAGCCUAGAUCCUUCUAAACCUUGUUUUUUUCCUUUCUUCGUUUUUGAGAUUUGUUGAUGUCGAGGCAUGCAGAUGUACGCCACUCAUUCUCCCUGCUGUGUUCCGUCGUAUCAAUAUACAGCCGCCUAUUUAUCCAUUUUCC
Long non-coding RNA from Pan troglodytes (chimpanzee), 3290 nucleotides. RefSeq lists it as uncharacterized. The record is from RefSeq and is a predicted model, not a curated record. NCBI's taxonomy places the organism in Eukaryota, Metazoa, Chordata, Mammalia, Primates, Hominidae. The transcript is spliced from 2 exons.